ACGAACGCUGGCGGCGUGCUUAACACAUGCAAGUCGAACGGAAAGGCCCUGCUUUUGUGGGGUGCUCGGGUGGCGAACGGGUGAGUAACACGUGAGUGACCUGCCCUUGACUUUGGGAUAACUUCAUGAAACUGGGGCUAAUACCGGAUAGGAGCUCCUGCUGCCUGGUGGGGGUUGGAAAGUUUCGGCGGUUGGGGAUGGAUUCGCGGCUUAUCAGCUUGUUGGUGGGGUAGUGGCUUACAAAGGCUUUGACGGGUAGCCGGCCUGAGAGGGUGACCGGGCACAUGGGGACUGAGAGACGGACCAGACUCCUACGGGAGGCAGAAGUGGAGAAUAUUGCGCAAUGGGCGGAAGCCUGAUGCAGCGACGCCGCGUGCGUGAUGACGGCCUUCGGGUUGUAAACCGAUGUCGCCGGUGACGAAGCGUGAGUGACGGUAAUGGGUAAGGAAGCACCGGCUAACUACGUG
RNAcentral lists this ribosomal RNA (467 nucleotides) under uncultured bacterium. Its description in RNAcentral is "partial 16S ribosomal RNA". It matches the Rfam family "Bacterial small subunit ribosomal RNA", at positions 29 to 507 of the family's 1533-position model. The record is from RNAcentral.